UGAAGUAUGACACGUCGAGAGGUUGCA
This 27-nucleotide non-coding RNA is filed under the name Bombyx mori (domestic silkworm). Lineage: Eukaryota; Metazoa; Arthropoda; Insecta; Lepidoptera; Bombycidae. The record is from RNAcentral.